UACGUAGGGUGCAAGCGUUGUCCGGAAUUACUGGGCGUAAAGGGCGCGUAGGCGGCCUGUUAAGUCGAACGUGAAAUCCCCGGGCUCAACCCGGGAACUGCGUCCGAUACUGGCAGGCUUGAAUCCGGGAGAGGGAUGCGGAAUUCCAGGUGUAGCGGUGAAAUGCGUAGAUAUCUGGAGGAACACCGGUGGCGAAGGCGGCAUCCUGGACCGGCAUUGACGCUGAGGCGCGAAAGCCAGGGGAGCAAACGGG
Molecule: ribosomal RNA, 253 nt
Filed under: uncultured bacterium
Lineage: Bacteria
Description: partial 16S ribosomal RNA
Rfam family: Bacterial small subunit ribosomal RNA
Source: RNAcentral